CCUACGGGUGGCUGCAGUGGGGGAUAUUGGACAAUGGGCGAAAGCCUGAUCCAGCCAUGCCGCGUGUGUGAAGAAGGCCUUCGGGUUGUAAAGCACUUUCAGUGGGGAAGAAAGCCUUGGGGCUAAUACCCUCGAGGAAGGACAUCACCCACAGAAGAAGCACCGGCUAACUCCGUGCCAGCAGCCGCGGUAAUACGGAGGGUGCGAGCGUUAAUCGGAAUUACUGGGCGUAAAGCGCGCGUAGGCGGUCUGAUAAGCCGGUUGUGAAAGCCCCGGGCUCAACCUGGGAACGGCAUCCGGAACUGUCAGGCUAGAGUGCAGGAGAGGAAGGUAGAAUUCCCGGUGUAGCGGUGAAAUGCGUAGAGAUCGGGAGGAAUACCAGUGGCGAAGGCGGCCUUCUGGACUGACACUGACGCUGAGGUGCGAAAGCGUGGGUAGCAAACAGGAUUAGAUACCCUAGUAGUC
RNAcentral lists this ribosomal RNA (465 nucleotides) under Vreelandella stevensii. Its description in RNAcentral is "partial 16S ribosomal RNA". It matches the Rfam family "Bacterial small subunit ribosomal RNA", at positions 338 to 795 of the family's 1533-position model. Lineage: Bacteria; Pseudomonadati; Pseudomonadota; Gammaproteobacteria; Oceanospirillales; Halomonadaceae. The record is from RNAcentral.